AAGUCGUAACAAGGUUUCCGUAGGUGAACCUGCGGAAGGAUCAUUAUUACGUUAUCCAACGUCAAACCCAAUUGUGAAAAUGUUUCCUCGGAGGUUGAAGGAUUGAGGAGAAGUUUGGUUCAUGACCCUUUUGUUUGGGCAACUUCUCUUACCUGAUAGACAGGUCAACCUUUUAACUUCUGUUUAUGAAAUUCCCGGUCAUGAACAAUUUUACGUAUCAAAAUUUAACCCCAUGUACAAAAUAUGAACUAAAACUCUGUUAAACUUUUGGCCUCGGUCAAGGUUUAAUCGAAAAAUCGAAAUUAAGAAAACAACUCUUAACAACGGAUAUCUUGGUUCUC
This 341-nucleotide unclassified non-coding RNA is filed under the name fungal sp. Its description in RNAcentral is "partial internal transcribed spacer region". The stretch from base 1 to 46 matches the Rfam family "Eukaryotic small subunit ribosomal RNA", at positions 1786 to 1831 of the family's 1831-position model. Lineage: Eukaryota; Fungi. The record is from RNAcentral.